Molecule: ribosomal RNA, 864 nt
Filed under: uncultured crenarchaeote
Lineage: Archaea; Thermoproteati; Thermoproteota
Description: bacterial SSU rRNA
Rfam family: Archaeal small subunit ribosomal RNA
Source: RNAcentral
GGACCCCACUGCUAUCGGGGUGGGACUAAGCCAUGCGAGUCGAACGCCCCGGGCAAAGGCGGGGCGUGGCGUACGGCUCAGUAAAACAUGGCCAACCUGCCCUCGGGACGGGGAUAACCUCGGGAAACUGAGGCUAAUCCCCGAUGGGCAAGGGCUCCUGGAAUUGGGCCCUUGCCGAAAGGGCGUCGAAACCACGCCUUUCGACGCCGCCCGAGGAUGGGGCCAUGUCCGAUCAGGUUGUUGGCUGGGUAACGGCCAUCCAAGCCUAUAACCGGUACGGGCCGUGAGAGCGGGAGCCCGGAGAUGGGCCCUGAGACAAGGGCCCAGGCCCUACGGGGCGCAGCAGGCGCGAAACCUCCGCAAUGCGGGAAACCGCGACGGGGUCACCCCGAGUGCCACCCGCGGAGGGUGGCUUUUCCCCGGUUUAACAAGCCGGGGGAAUAAGGGGAGGGCAAGCCUGGUGUCAGCCGCCGCGGUAAUACCAGCUCCCCGAGUGGUGGGGACGGUUAUUGGGCCUAAAGCGUCCGUAGCCGGCCCGAUAAGUCCCUCGUCAAAUCCGGCGGCCCAACCGCCGGGCCGCGGGGGAUACUGUCGGGCUAGGGGGCGGGAGAGGCCGGCGGUACUUCCGGGGUAGGGGUGAAAUCCUAUAAUCCCGGGAGGACCACCAGUGGCGAAGGCGGCCGGCCAGAACGCGCCCGACGGUGAGGGACGAAAGCUGGGGGAGCGAACCGGAUUAGAUACCCGGGUAGUCCCAGCUGUAAACGAUGCGGGCUAGGUGUCGGGACGGCCUUGAGUCGUCCCGGUGCCGCAGGGAAGCCGUUAAGCCCGCCGCCUGGGGAGUACGGCCGCAAGGCUGAAACUUAA